UUUUGUUAUUCGAUAAUUAUAUUUAAGAUUAGGUAAUUACUUGGCAAAUGUGCAUUGAAUUUGUUAAAUUUAAGCCUACAAUCUUUAGUUGAUUUGAGAGAAGAAUCAGCCACAAAGGGGAAUGAGAACAACCCUUCGGUCUCGCAGCAGUGAGGAAUAUUAAACAAUAUGCGAAAGCGUGAUUUAGCGAACUAGUGAUAAUGAUGAAGGUCGUAACGAUUGUAAAGUUUGUGCAUAAACUAAAAUAAUGAUAUUAAGUUUAAAAGAAGCCAUGGCCAAUACAUGUGCCAGCAGCCGCGGUAAUACAUGAGUGGCGAGCGUUAUCCGUAUUUAUUUGGCGUAAAGGGUGUGUAGGUUGUAAAAGUAGUUAUAUUUAACUAAAUCAGUUUAUUGUGUUAAAAUAUAAUACCUUUUUACUUUGAUUUUUAUAUAUAUAUGUUAUAUUUAUAAUCUAGUGAUAAAAUACAGUGAGUUUAUAAGUAUAUCUUAAGGUGAAAACAACAUAUUUUAUAAAAAUGACAUUGAAACACGAAAGUAGAGGUAUCAAAUAGGAUUAGACACCCUAGUAGUCUUUACUUUAAAUUAUGAGUAUUUAAUCUUUUUAAAAGGUUUUAGUUAACGCGUAGAAUACUCCGCCUGGGCAGUACAGUCGCAAGGUUGAAACUUAACAGAAUUGGCGGGAAUUUUUUCAAACGGUGGAACAUGUGGUUUAAUACGAUAAUCCGCGUAAAAUCUUACCAAAAUGGUUAAUAUUGUUUAAAUGUUAUUAAUUUAACAUAAAUUUAAAUAUUAAUGCAGUAUUGCAUGGCUGUCGUCGGUUCGUGCUGUGAAAUGUAAAAUUAAGUUUUAUAACGAACGCAACUCUUAUAUAUAAUUUUAAUUAAUUUUAUUAAAAUUUUUUAAUUUAUAAAUUUAAUUUUUUAUAUAAAGAUUUUAUUUUUAAUAAAAUGGAGGAAAAGACCGAAGUCAAGUCAUUAUGGUCUAAGUAUUUUGGGCUACACACGUGUUACAAAAGUAAAAACAAAGAGUUGC
RNAcentral lists this non-coding RNA (1032 nucleotides) under Corchorus olitorius. RNAcentral's name for it is "Bacterial small subunit ribosomal RNA". It matches the Rfam family "Bacterial small subunit ribosomal RNA", at positions 213 to 1250 of the family's 1533-position model. The record is from Rfam by way of RNAcentral. Lineage: Eukaryota; Viridiplantae; Streptophyta; Magnoliopsida; Malvales; Malvaceae.